GAUGAACGCUGGCGGCGUGCCUAAUACAUGCAGGUCGAGCGAACGGACGAGAAGCUUGCUUCUCUGAUGUUAGCGGCGGACGGGUGAGUAACACGUGGAUAACCUACCUAUAAGGCUGGGAUAACUUCGGGAAACCGGAGCUAAUACCGGAUGAUAUUUUGAACCGCAUGGUUCAAAAGUGAAAGACGGUCUUGCUGUCACUUAUAGAUGGAUCCGCGCUGCAUUAGCUAGUUGGUAAGGUAACGGCUUACCAAGGCAACGAUGCAUAGCCGACCUGAGAGGGUGAUCGGCCACACUGGAACUGAGACACGGUCCAGACUCCUACGGGAGGCAGCAGUAGGGAAUCUUCCGCAAUGGGCGAAAGCCUGACGGAGCAACGCCGCGUGAGUGAUGAAGGUCUUCGGAUCGUAAAACUCUGUUAUUAGGGAAGAACAUAUGUGUAAGUAACUGUGCACAUCUUGACGGUACCUAAUCAGAAAGCCACGGCUAACUACGUG
This 497-nucleotide ribosomal RNA is filed under the name uncultured bacterium. Its description in RNAcentral is "partial 16S ribosomal RNA". It matches the Rfam family "Bacterial small subunit ribosomal RNA", at positions 28 to 507 of the family's 1533-position model. The record is from RNAcentral.